AUGAUAUGCCACCACGACUCUCUCUCUGCGUGACUCUGCCUCCCCACUGCUCAUCCAGUCGUCUUCAGCCUCCAGCCCACGGGUUCUCUCUGUGCGGCAAAGACCCUCUCCGUCUCAGCGUGUCUCCUCGAUCGUUGAGGCGUCGAUGGCCGUUUCUACACUCGAUGGUGACGAACUAACGGUGGUAACUCGGCUCUUACUUUUCAAUCGAUCUGUAUCACAUGAACAUCUCGACUACUUUCUGGGUUUUCAGUCGAAUAGCCUCGAAGUCUUGAACUUGGUUUCUCUCUUCCUCAAGCAGCAAAGCAGAUAGCCUGAAACAAGCUUGGUUAGUUGCUGAAAUCAAGCUUGGUUAGCUGGUUCUGAAAUUGGCAUUCAACAAUUUAUGUUCUUAAAUUGUUCUUUUGUUGCUGAUAUUGCUUGCUUUUAUGUUUUGGGGUUUACUUUCGAGUUUGUGAAGAGUAAAGAUUGAUUCUUUUCUCAUGUAAAUUGAGGGGAUUGAUGGGAGUUUGAAGAAAUGGGGUUUUUGUUGUUAGUUAAAACGGGCUGUGUGUCCUGCUGAACAAAGUUUGAGUCUUUUCUCAUGUAAAUUGAGAGCCCUGAAGGGAAUUUGAAGAGAUAGAACAGUGGAUGGUAAAGCUUCAAACUGUUAUUUGGUUGGAGGGUAAUAUCGACAGAAUGAAUCCUCUGCAGAUUUCAACUACUCCACAGGAUUAUGGGCACUAAUUACGGAUUUAGAGUGCUCAUGAUUUGACUAUGUUUGUAAAAACUCAAGAGGAAUUUGAUGAAGACAGGGUCAGUAAAAUGCCAGAUGAUGUUCUCUGCUUUCAGGUCAGCUGUUCUGUACAUAUUCUUAAACACCAUUGUGGAGAGGAGACCUCAUGUAUUCCAAAAGAUGAAGAACCUAGCUGUGAUCGCAUGUAGCAAAGGGAAAAGCAGUAGCUGCUGAAAGUGAUGAAGAAGAACCAACUGCCAAAGCUGGAACCUCAAGCUCAAAGUCUUCAAAAGUCUCCAAAAGAGCUGCAGCUGCAACUCCUUCAACAAGAGCUGCAGCUGCAACUCCUUCAACAAGUGCUGCUGCUGGGACCUCAAAAUCUGCAAAAGCACCAAAACAAGGGCUGCUGCCACCAAGAAAACCUAAAGGAUCUCUGACUUUAGAGAUUUUCCCGAGCGCAAUAUCUUUCAGUUGUUGAAGGUUCCCAUAUACCAUGGUCGGAUAGUGAAUCCUAGAGAGUUAUCUGCAUUAUAUGAAGCAAUUGGUAAAAAGUCUCUUACUGAACUUCGAGCUGAGGGUGGUGAGCUAUUUGAAUCAUUUGUGGAGAAUAUCCAUAAUAAGAAAGUUACUAUUCAUGGAACAUUGAUACACUAUGCACAUUUGUCGUAAAUGAUCAAUUUAUGGUGAUGUCGAAGGUCAACAAGGUUUUGCAAAUCUUGAGAGAUGCUGAAAAUUGGCCAGAUGAGAACAUGUGGAUUGCUCCUCUUGGAUUAUACCAUGAAAAAUGGCAGGUAAGGAC
This is a long non-coding RNA of Rosa chinensis, 1514 nucleotides long. RefSeq lists it as uncharacterized. Lineage: Eukaryota; Viridiplantae; Streptophyta; Magnoliopsida; Rosales; Rosaceae. The record is from RefSeq and is a predicted model, not a curated record. The transcript has 7 exons.